Molecule: long non-coding RNA, 4099 nt
Organism: Equus caballus (horse)
Lineage: Eukaryota; Metazoa; Chordata; Mammalia; Perissodactyla; Equidae
Source: Ensembl
GGCCAUGCCACCACGAGUCCCUCAGUGCCAGCCCUGCACACCACUCACUCCCUCCACAGACCCGUGGCUGGGUGUGGCAAGCACCACAGUGACUCAGAGAGGCCCCAGCUCUCAAAAAUGACAAGACCCUGCCCUCAAGGACCUCCAACAGUGAAAGGCAGACUGCCCCACGCAGCACCUCAUUUGGAUAUGUCUAGAAUCUUGGAAGCUUGACUACCCUUCGUUCUCCUACAAAUGGACCUUGAGAGCUUGUUUGGAGGGUCUAGCAGCCGAGCACAGCUACUCGGAUACCCAUGACGGAAGAACAAAGAAUGGCCCUCCUCUAUCUGGGAAGGCCAUCCUCUCACACUGAGCCGCAGCUUCUGGAGGGAUGCACAGGGAGCAGGGAAGGGAGGAGGGGGACACCCGCUGAGCCAGCCAGAUCAGCCAAAUCAACCCUGGCGACCCAUGGGUAGCAGAUUUCGUGGCCAGAUCACCUUCACAUCCACAGAGGUACCAUUUUUAUCCAGCACCUAGCACAGUGCCUAAGACAGAGAUGAGGCUCAGGAAAUGUAUAAAAGGAAAUGACAUACGAGGAAGCUGGGCCCAGGAAGGUGCAGUAACUCGCCUAAGGUCAUGCAGUUCACAGCCAGCAGAGUUGAGAUUGAAACGCCUCUGGCUUAACUACCACUUCACACUGCUUCUCAUCAAAGAAAAGACGCCAAGUUGUGGGCCCUGUGAGGGCAAAGCAGGCGAGGUGAGGGAAGGCUUCUUUCCUUGGCUUUGGUACAAGGGGGCUGGAGCCUGAAAAUGCAGGAGAGAACCCUAAAGCAGCCGUCCUGCAUGGCCAACCUUCCCCAGCCUAAGAAGAGUCAAGUAUGAGUCUCAGGUUCCCCUCAGAGUAGGGGGGAUGGUUUCAGAGUCGAAGUCCAGCCAUGAGGAGUAAUGGAGCUGUAUUUGCUGGAGGCUUUUCCAGACAUUUCCUUAUCAGCUUUUCUUCUGGAAGGAUCUUGGCAUUCAGCUAUAUUAUAGGUGCCCAGCCUGACAGAAACUCUGUUUACUCCAAGGGGUGGAGUGGACUUGGAGGGCUCCAGGUCUGUCCUCUUCUCCCUUGGCUCAGCGGGUUGGGAGAAGAUGGGAGACGAGACAGAGAGGGUGGGACUGUGCAGGAGAAAACCCAUAGCCUUUGCCUGGGAGAGUCGGAGAGGCGCAGAUCCUGUCUGACUGAUCCCAGACCCCGCCACUGCCCCUGUGACAUUUGAUAAAUGCUUCCUGUGAAACUGUUUACCCGGGAGGAAAUGGAUCAUGCUUCCCCUUCCUACCACGAGGGUGGGAAGAGGGGCUGCGCUGGUCCCAUAAAUUCCAGCAACUGUCGGUGCUCACCACCUCACCUCCCCAGGUGCCCCGAGGGGUGAGACAAAGGUGCUAGACACAGAAAGAGCUGUGACAAGAGGCAAGUACGCAGCCAGAAGGUCAUGUCUGUAGGAACACAUCCAUGUCCAUUUGUCACUGUUAUCUCCCAUUUUUUCCUCCAUUUCUUUUAAAUUAAGUUGCCAUCUGUCCUUUUUUUAUCUAGAAAGUCCUAAAGGAACCAUCUGGAGCUGGCUCCUUUUCAUUUUCCCCUGCUUGGGAGGUGAUGUGAUGGGCAUGUCUAGCAAACUGUCACAGUGGAUCUUAAAUCUUGGGAGCAGAGGUGUCCAUGGGCCUGGAAAAACCAUUUCCUUCCCCAACAAUCAGGGUCUCCUGGUUCCAGUAUCAGCUGUGCAGCUGUCUUCUCUAGAGAGGCCGUUGAAGGUAUUGAAAAGAGUGUGAUAUCAGGAGCCAGAGCAGCCAGUUCGGUCCUGGUGUCAUCACUUAUUCACUCUGUGACCUUGAGCAGGUCCCAUAACUUCUCUGAGCCUCAAUUCCCUCCCCUGGGAAAUAGAGACAAUGAUAUCAGCUGCAACGCAGUUUCCUGUGAGGGUCGAGUGAGGGAAUGCAUGUACAAAUGCAUGGAAAUAGUAAAAUAAUGCAGUUAUGGGUUUUUUUAAAGUCAAAUAAUUUGGCCGAGUUCUCCUUCUAACAGAGACAAUAAUCUAUGUUCUCGCUUUCCCAAACAUCAGGAGGACAGAAGAGGUAAGAUUUGCAAAAGUAUUCAAGAUCUCGGGUCAGUUUUUUAUUUCACCAACAUCCAAACAAUCAGAAAAUGAAAAAGACCCCAAAACUUGCUUCAAUUCUAACCGAUGACUACCUCGGCCAAUAAUAGUGCCCUGAGGCACAGCACCAAAGACUAAGUUAUUUUUUAAAUAUCAGAUUCUCAGUUUCUAAAAGUUCUUGAUACAUCUUUCUAGCUUAGCUUGAAUCUCCCUUUAACUAGAGCGCCCCAAUUCCCAGCAGAAGUUCUACACAGUACAACUCACAGAGCGCAUGUCUCAGAAGCAGCCCAGCAGCUUAUUGAAAAGCCCGGAUUCUUGUGAUGUACUGAAUCAGGAACUCUGGGAGACAGGGCCCAGAAACUGCAUUUUAACAGGCACUUUAGGGCGUUCUUCCGCGUGCUGAAGUUUGAGAACCACUAAUCUGGAAGCUCCACAAUGUACUGCAGAAGAGUCAUGGAAAACUUCUCUCUGUACGUCCUUCAGCAGCCAAACCCUGGACCCCUCAAAAGAGGAGACUCGAGUACACAGAAAUCUGUUGGAGCCCCAGUCCUGUGGCCCCAGCUUCCAAGGUCCCACAUCCAUAGAUUUAAUUGUGGAAAAGGCAGAUGGGAGAGGCCGGGUCCAGAGCCAAGUCUUGACCUGAGUUGAGACCACAGCAGACGUUAACACAAGGAAACACAGCUGAUGCAUGAGACUGAAGUAAGAAAUACGGCCUCUAUGCUCUGAAGGGAGGGAUGUGGGCUCAGGGGACAUCAGAGUCUAGGUUUCCAGGCAGCUUACCCAGGUCACAGGAGCAAUGUUAGCGGGAGGCAGAGGGAGAGACGAGCAAGUCAUUACAGAUUCUUGGGAUAUAAGAGUUCUAAUGUCUUGGAUAUUUCAUUAUCAUCAAUAUAUACUUUCCUCUGAGUUUCUAGGGACAAAUCUUGACUCUUGGAGACCUCAGAAGGAAUUGAUGCAUUCUCAAAUGCUGGCUGAACCUGGGUUGGUCUAUUCAGUUGACAGGAUCCUAUGACUCUUUCCACAUCGUAUUAGAGCACUCCCUGUGAAGUAAGGACAAGAAUCAUGCUAACAGGGGAGAAAAACUGCCAUGUGGAAAUCCUGCACUCAACAUGUGAGGGGAGGUGAAAGCCAAGAAAUAGAAAGAUGUCCUUUCUGUAUGUGGCGAUGCUAAGGAAAUGCUGUCUCUACAUUGUUUAUCCGGAUCCACAGAAAAUGACUUUUGCGGUCACACUUCAUUUUGUAGCAUUUUUUGCAAAUCAUUUGGAUUAAGGUAGCACACAACCAUGGUGUUGAACUAAGUGGAAUGUGUGGCUGGAUAUGGAAGUUUACUGACAACCCAACCAGAGUUGGGAAGCUUGAAAGCUCUGCUGUGGCUCCGGGAGCUGUCUGUGAACCCAGUGCUCCCUGCUCCCGCUUGUGCUUGGCUGGCAGACAGCUCUGCACCCAGGGCUGCAGUCCUGACUAAAGAGCUGAGUGAAGGGUUUCUCCUGCUCCAGACACUGGGCCCCUGGAACUGAGAAGAGGGGAGGAGGCCAGCGUGGAAGGGUGUGUCUGAUCUGAACAAUGGGCAAAUCAAGCAGGGAUCAGGAGCCUGAGAAAUAAUGCCCAGAGUUGCUCAUUACAUGGGAGACCUGCAACUGAGGUUAGGCUCCAUGGAGCACCGCCACCGAAGCCUGCCUCUCCCAAGGCAAGGCCACCACGCGGGCGUCAGACCUGAUGUUACUGUCUGAUCAUGGAGCAGAGGAGAACAGCACGGCCUCCUACACACCUGGGGAUGAGUGCCUGGCACAGGUGUGUCCUCAGAAAAGAUCAAGGAGAAAAUAAACGGAUCAAUUUAAUGUUUGUGUUUUCCUUCUUUCCUUCCUCCCUUUCUUCCUUCCUUUCCUUCCUUCCUUUCUUUCUUUUUUUGUCGUUUACUACAUUAGAGACCUAGAAAUGGAUCACAGCGGGGGGGUUGGUAAUGAAAGGAGGGGAAAGAAACAGAC